This 253-nucleotide ribosomal RNA is filed under the name uncultured bacterium. RNAcentral's name for it is "partial 16S ribosomal RNA". It matches the Rfam family "Bacterial small subunit ribosomal RNA", at positions 524 to 776 of the family's 1533-position model. The record is from RNAcentral.
UACGUAGGGUGCUAGCGUUGUUCGGAAUCAUUGGGCGUAAAGCGCGUGUAGGCGGUUAUUUAAGUCGGGUGUGAAAUCCCAGGGCUCAACCGAGGAAGUGCAUCCGAAACUAACUAGCUAGAGAAUGGUAGAGGAAGGUGGAAUUCCGUGUGUAGAGGUGAAAUUCGUAGAUAUACGGAGGAAUACCGGUGGCGAAGGCGGCCUUCUGGACCAUUUCUGACGCUGAGACGCGAAAGCGUGGGGAGCAAACAGG